RNAcentral lists this ribosomal RNA (254 nucleotides) under uncultured bacterium. Its description in RNAcentral is "partial 16S ribosomal RNA". It matches the Rfam family "Bacterial small subunit ribosomal RNA", at positions 524 to 776 of the family's 1533-position model. The record is from RNAcentral.
GACGAACCGUGCGAACGUUAUUCGGAAUCACCGGGCUUAAAGCGCGCGUAGGCGGGCCGGCACGUCGGAUGCUGAAAGCCCCCGGCUCAACCGGGGAAGGGGCACCGAUACGACCGGCCUGGAGUGGGGUAGGGGGAGCCGGAACUUCCGGUGGAGCGGUGAAAUGCGUUGAGAUCGGAAGGAACGCCCGUGGCGAAAGCGGGCUCCUGGACCCCGACUGACGCUGAGGCGCGAAAGCCAGGGGAGCGAACGGG